GAUGAACGCUGGCGGCGUGCCUAAUACAUGCAAGUCGAGCGAACGGACGAGAAGCUUGCUUCUCUGAUGUUAGCGGCGGACGGGUGAGUAACACGUGGAUAACCUACCUAUAAGACUGGGAUAACUUCGGGAAACCGGAGCUAAUACCGGAUAAUAUUUUGAACCGCAUGGUUCAAAAGUGAAAGACGGUCUUGCUGUCACUUAUAGAUGGAUCCGCGCUGCAUUAGCUAGUUGGUAAGGUAACGGCUUACCAAGGCAACGAUGCAUAGCCGACCUGAGAGGGUGAUCGGCCACACUGGAACUGAGACACGGUCCAGACUCCUACGGGAGGCAGCAGUAGGGAAUCUUCCGCAAUGGGCGAAAGCCUGACGGAGCAACGCCGCGUGAGUGAUGAAGGUCUUCGGAUCGUAAAACUCUGUUAUUAGGGAAGAACAUAUGUGUAAGUAACUGUGCACAUCUUGACGGUACCUAAUCAGAAAGCCACGGCUAACUACGUGCCAGCAGCCGCGGUAAUACGUAGGUGGCAAGCGUUAUCCGGAAUUAUUGGGCGUAAAGCGCGCGUAGGCGGUUUUUUAAGUCUGAUGUGAAAGCCCACGGCUCAACCGUGGAGGGUCAUUGGAAACUGGAAAACUUGAGUGCAGAAGAGGAAAGUGGAAUUCCAUGUGUAGCGGUGAAAUGCGCAGAGAUAUGGAGGAGCACCAGUGGCGAAGGCGACUUUCUGGUCUGUAACUGACGCUGAUGUGCGAAAGCGUGGGGAUCAAACAGGAUUAGAUACCCUGGUAGUCCACGCCGUAAACGAUGAGUGCUAAGUGUUAGGGGGUUUCCGCCCCUUAGUGCUGCAGCUAACGCAUUAAGCACUCCGCCUGGGGAGUACGACCGCAAGGUUGAAACUCAAAGGAAUUGACGGGGACCCGCACAAGCGGUGGAGCAUGUGGUUUAAUUCGAAGCAACGCGAAGAACCUUACCAAAUCUUGACAUCCUUUGACAACUCUAGAGAUAGAGCCUUCCCCUUCGGGGGGCAAAGUGACAGGUGGUGCAUGGUUGUCGUCAGCUCGUGUCGUGAGAUGUUGGGUUAAGUCCCGCAACGAGCGCAACCCUUAAGCUUAGUUGCCAUCAUUAAGUUGGGCACUCUAAGUUGACUGCCGGUGACAAACCGGAGGAAGGUGGGGAUGACGUCAAAUCAUCAUGCCCCUUAUGAUUUGGGCUACACACGUGCUACAAUGGACAAUACAAAGGGCAGCGAAACCGCGAGGUCAAGCAAAUCCCAUAAAGUUGUUCUCAGUUCGGAUUGUAGUCUGCAACUCGACUACAUGAAGCUGGAAUCGCUAGUAAUCGUAGAUCAGCAUGCUACGGUGAAUACGUUCCCGGGUCU
Molecule: ribosomal RNA, 1372 nt
Filed under: uncultured bacterium
Lineage: Bacteria
Description: bacterial SSU rRNA
Rfam family: Bacterial small subunit ribosomal RNA
Source: RNAcentral